UACGAAGGGGGCUAGCGUUGCUCGGAAUCACUGGGCGUAAAGCGCACGUAGGCGGCUUUCUAAGUCAGGGGUGAAAUCCUGGAGCUCAACUCCAGAACUGCCUUUGAUACUGGAGAGCUUGAGUCCGGAAGAGGUGAGUGGAACUCCGAGUGUAGAGGUGAAAUUCGUAGAUAUCUGGAGGAAUACCGGUGGCGAAGGCGGCAUCCUGGACCGGCAUUGACGCUGAGUGAGCGAAAGCCAGGGGAGCAAACGGG
RNAcentral lists this ribosomal RNA (254 nucleotides) under uncultured bacterium. RNAcentral's name for it is "partial 16S ribosomal RNA". It matches the Rfam family "Bacterial small subunit ribosomal RNA", at positions 524 to 776 of the family's 1533-position model. The record is from RNAcentral.